Molecule: long non-coding RNA, 815 nt
Organism: Carassius auratus (goldfish)
Lineage: Eukaryota; Metazoa; Chordata; Actinopteri; Cypriniformes; Cyprinidae
Exons: 5
Source: RefSeq, a predicted model, not a curated record
GACGAAUGCGGCAACGUUGCGAUAUUUCCUGCUUAAUAUUUUCAGAUAUGGGAAAAGCACUUAAGAUGAGCACACGUUUCAGGAACGUUAAAAUUAAGUUGGUGAGGAGGUCUAUCGUGGACCCUGCAAGUUUUCUUACCUCAGUCAAGGUCUUCCCCAGCCCAGCUACAAACAGACCCACUCUUGAGACGCUUCUAUUACAUCUCAACCUGCUGAACCUGAUGAUGCGACACCAAGCUGUUCUGAGAGCGCAUACAGUAAGGCAAAGAAGAGAGAGCUUCAUGCCUGGGAUGCAGUCAAGGAUGAGAUGCUUAAGAGUGUUUACUAUGAGCCAUCCUCCCUGGGGUUAUUCUUAUAUUUACCUGAAGCCCAUGGCACCCAUGCUGUGUACACAAAGGACAUGAAGAUCAUUGUCAGCACAGGACGGCUCUGCACCGUUACAGUCACCAUGUGUGCGUGUGAACCAGAAACCUGUACUCUGUUGAGGUAUGGGCUCUGACCAGACAGCCUUCUCCAUCCCUCUGCUAGAGCUUUCUGUUUCUCUAUCACUGGAGUGUCUGGUUUCUGUUGAGGGUUUUUGCAACACCCCAUAUCCCAUUUUAGGCAUCACCACUUCCGACAAAGAAGUUUGGUUGAUAUUUGCCCACAAUUAAAUGAUGGAACCAUAUGCCCAGCAUGUCCAAAGGCGGAUGGAGAUAUGAUUGUCACAUUGGAUGCAAACUUUGGCCUUGUGAGGAAUCAAAGCUCAGUACAAGUGUGGUUGAUCCAUUACACGGAACCCGCGUGUUUAGAGGAAUACCUGCUAUCACAUCUUG